AAUUAUUAAUCAAUCGUUGCAAGAAGGGAAAGACUUCCAGAGUAAAGGUGAAAUGCCCUCACACGACUGGAAGAUGAGGUGCUGCUAGGACAUUAGAGAAAAUGCGAAAAGAAAAUCCAAAUACUAUCAUCACCAGGACUGACUUGUUUGUUGCCACUCAUAGCAGACCUGAUGGGUCUUACCCAACACAAACACGUCUUAAAACAGCGGAAAGAAUAUUAUCGAUAGCUGGCAGUGAUCCUUCCAGUAAGCACAAGGAUUUAGACCACAACCCAGUUUCACAGGUUUGUGGUCGUGAUAGCAGAGGCCGGGUUAGGGGGAUGACUUUUGGUAUUUCUAAGACUAUUAUGAAGGUUGCCACCACC
Molecule: long non-coding RNA, 365 nt
Organism: Magnolia sinica
Lineage: Eukaryota; Viridiplantae; Streptophyta; Magnoliopsida; Magnoliales; Magnoliaceae
Exons: 4
Source: RefSeq, a predicted model, not a curated record